Molecule: ribosomal RNA, 253 nt
Filed under: uncultured bacterium
Lineage: Bacteria
Description: partial 16S ribosomal RNA
Rfam family: Bacterial small subunit ribosomal RNA
Source: RNAcentral
UACGUAGGGGGCAAGCGUUGUCCGGAAUCAUUGGGCGUAAAGAGUGCGUAGGCGGUUCUGUAAGUGUGUUGUGAAAUCUCACGGCUCAACUGGGAGGGUGCGCCGAAGACUGCAGGGCUUGAGUAUGGGAGAGGUAAGCGGAAUUCCUGGUGUAGCGGUGAAAUGCGUAGAUAUCAGGAGGAACGCCUGUGGUGUAGACAGCUUGCUGGAGCAUAACUGACGCUGAGGCACGAAAGCGUGGGUAGCAAACAGG